Long non-coding RNA from Pan troglodytes (chimpanzee), 988 nucleotides. RefSeq lists it as uncharacterized. The transcript is spliced from 4 exons. Lineage: Eukaryota; Metazoa; Chordata; Mammalia; Primates; Hominidae. The record is from RefSeq and is a predicted model, not a curated record.
AUACAACCAAGGCAGCUCUCAUAGCCAGCACCCAUGCUAUGCAUUUAAUUCAACAAUGUGGGUCUCAUUUAUAAGCCAGCAGGCUGCUUCCUGACCUGGGGGAUAGACCACGAAGGUUUGGCUUUAGGAGGGGCAUGCUACUGCAACCAGGUGAGCCACAUGGCUUGCCUAGCAACAAAGAAUGCCAAGAACAGAACGCACGAGAGUGAAGAAUUCCUGAUUUUGAAUCCAGUGCUUUCAACUACCAGAUUGUAUUAAUUCCUAGAAAUGAAACAAAGCAAAGCAUGGGAAUGGAGGAUGAGAUAGUCAAUUUUCAGAAUAAGAUGUUCUACCAAGAUGUAAAGAGGGGAAAAAAAGUAAUUUUCAACAGCUAGGCAAGAACUGCCACAAGCAGCAGUCGAAAAAAUCAAUGGCAUGGUUUCCUAAUGUGGUCUUGGAUUCAGCAAGAAAAUACUACAGAGAGAAAACUGCAGGAGUCUCUAUUUUGUCCCCUCAAAAUGAAUUAAAUGGUCUAGUGGAAGCUGAAGGACUCUGAAGAUGGCCAAGUUACAGAUCUCUUAAAAAAUCCAGUAUGAUGAUGCCCAUUUACAAAAUUUUAUGAUGAGAAAAUUAACUUUAAAACUCUUUUACAACUCUACCAAAUGUAAGAAAUAUAUGUCCCUAAGAAGACAGAAAAAGAGAAGCAGAUGAAAGGAAAUAGAAUUUUCUAUUUUCUCCUCACCAUGUAAGCCUCAAAUAAAAAGCAUCUAACAAUUCAACGAUCUUAACUUGGACCUGGUAGGAGACAUACACUGAAGCAAUGGCUACAACUCCAAAAUAUACCAAUCUGUGAGGCUAUGAGAUGACAGGUCAAAUUUUUCUCAGAAGAAACAUCCUAGCUAUAUUUCGUCAUUGAAUGUGGCCAUGUAUUGGCCCAGUAAUCUUCACAAGCAUCACAACCAAUUACUUAGGGCUUUAAUAAAGAAGGGACCUUAUGUAGAGUUUAAUC